RNAcentral lists this long non-coding RNA (539 nucleotides) under Callithrix jacchus (white-tufted-ear marmoset). RNAcentral's name for it is "lncRNA (ENSCJAG00000075246.1)". The record is from RNAcentral. Lineage: Eukaryota; Metazoa; Chordata; Mammalia; Primates; Cebidae.
ACGUGUUCAUCCAAGGGAUGGGCGCUUCUAGGGACCCGGCAUCCUUUGGGUCCAGGGCGUCUUAAACUGUCUGUCCCCUCUCACGGCCCCCACAGAAACAGUUUCAUAGGAGUAAAAGUGUCCUAAGUGGACUGGAAAUUACAAAUGCCGGAAAGAACUUGGGGAUGGAAAGCAGCCCUCAAUUGGCAAAACAUAAAGACUGUGCACAGAUGCUGAUGACUAUCCUGAAACAGGGACCCACAAACACUGCUGUUAAGAAUUUGAGUGGACAUGGAUGAACCUGGAAGCCAUCGUUCUCAGCAAACUGACACAAGAACAGAAAAUCAAACACCGCAUGUUCUCACUCAUAGGUGGGUGUUGAACAAUUAGAACACUUGGACACAAAGUGGGGAGCAUCACACACUGGGGUGCGUUGGUGGGGGCUACAGGAGGGAUAGUGGGAGGGAGGGUUGGGGAGGGAUACGUGGGGAGAAAAGUCAGGUAUAGGUGAUGGGGGAAUAGUGGCAACAAACCACCUUACCAUGAAUGUACCUAUGCAA